Myotis lucifugus (little brown bat) is the source of this 320-nucleotide long non-coding RNA. RefSeq lists it as uncharacterized. The transcript has 3 exons. NCBI's taxonomy places the organism in Eukaryota, Metazoa, Chordata, Mammalia, Chiroptera, Vespertilionidae. The record is from RefSeq and is a predicted model, not a curated record.
UUUAACAUCUCAAAGUAAUGCUUCUUUUUGUUUUAUCUUGUAGAUAUUGCUAUAUGGAGAUUUGCCAAAAAACAAAGAAAAUAUAAUAUAUUUAGCAAAUCAUCAAUGCACAGUGGACUGGAUCGUGGCGGACAUCCUGGCCGUCCGGCAGGCGCCCUGGGCACGUGCGCUACGUGCUGAAGGACGGCCUGAAGUGGCUUCCCUUGUACGGCUGUUACUUCUCUCAGCACGGAGGCAUCUACGUCAAGAGGAGCGCGAGGUUCAGGGAGGAGGAGAUGCGCCAGAAGCUGCUGAGCUACGUGAGCGCCGGGACCCCGGUG